This 437-nucleotide ribosomal RNA is filed under the name uncultured bacterium. Its description in RNAcentral is "partial 16S ribosomal RNA". It matches the Rfam family "Bacterial small subunit ribosomal RNA", at positions 341 to 792 of the family's 1533-position model. The record is from RNAcentral.
ACGGAAGGCAGCAGUGGGGAAUAUUGGGCAAUGGGCGGAAGCCUGACCCAGCAACGCCGCGUGAGGGAAGAAGGUUUUCGGAUUGUAAACCUCUGUCCUUGGUGACGAAGGGAGUGACGGUAGCCAAGGAGGAAGCCCCGGCUAACUACGUGCCAGCAGCCGCGGUAAUACGUAGGGGGCGAGCGUUGUCCGGAAUGACUGGGCGUAAAGGGCGUGUAGGCGGCGCUGUAAGUCCGGAGUGAAAGUCCUGCUUUCAAGGUGGGAAUUGCUUUGGAGACUGCAGAGCUUGAGUACGGAAGAGGUAAGUGGAAUUCCCGGUGUAGCGGUGAAAUGCGUAGAUAUCAGGAGGAACACCGGUGGCGAAGGCGGAUUACUGGACGACAACUGACGCUGAGACACGAAAGUGUGGGGAGCAAACAGGAUUAGAUACCCUGGUA